Long non-coding RNA from Felis catus (domestic cat), 549 nucleotides. RefSeq lists it as uncharacterized. Lineage: Eukaryota; Metazoa; Chordata; Mammalia; Carnivora; Felidae. The transcript has 4 exons. The record is from RefSeq and is a predicted model, not a curated record.
GUCAGCUGGUCUGCUUCUAUGCCUGCUUCCUCCUGAGUCUCCCGCAAGGCUGCUUCUAAGUCAUUUUCUCCUGAUUCCACAUGGCCUGAUUAGGAAAAAAGAGGAAGAGAUAAUCUUCAACAAAGGUGGAAUUUUCAGAAAAGAAUGUCAACAACAAGAACAACAACAACAAAAGAGAGGAAGGGAGAAGAAUAGAAAUAUCUGCAGAAGUGAAAAAACAACUCAUCUGAAGGCGGACAGGUUAUCAAGCUCACGAACUUAUAGGAGGAGCUGGAGCCCUUUGUCAUAGAGCUGAAUGGACAUCUGGCCGACCACUCGGAGUAACUGAAGGAGGACAUUCAGCAGGAGUUGGGGAGCUGCCGGCCUGAGUGCUAUAUCCUGCACCAACAAGGUGAACCAGCAGAUCAGUGUCAAAAGGAUGGAAUAGACAUGAGGUGCCCAUCAGUGAAUAAAGCUCUCUCUUUCUUGUGACAACAAGCAAGCAAGCAAGCAAGCAAGCAAGCAAGAAGCUCCCAACUACUGUGAAUAAAUUGAGACAAAGAAAAUGUU